AAAAAAGGUAAGCUACUAAGAGCGAAUGGUGGAUGCCUUGACUGGUAAAGGCGAUGAAGGACGUACUAGACUGCGAUAAGCUACGGGGAGCUGUCAAGAAGCUUUGAUCCGUAGAUUUCCGAAUGGGGCAACCCAAUGUAUAGAGAUAUACAUUACCUAUAUAGGAGCGAACGAGGGGAAUUGAAACAUCUUAGUACCCUCAGGAAAAGAAAUCAAUAGAGAUUGCGUCAGUAGCGGCGAGCGAAAGCGCAAGAGGGCAAACCCAGUGCUUGCACUGGGGGUUGUAGGACUGCAAUGUGCAAGAGGUGAGUUUAGCAGAACAUUCUGGAAAGUAUAGCCAUAGAGGGUGAUAGUCCCGUAUGCGAAAAACAAACCUUAGCUAGCAGUAUCCUGAGUAGGGCGGGACACGAGGAAUCCUGUCUGAAUCCGGGUCGACCACGAUCCAACCCUAAAUACUAAUACCAGAUCGAUAGUGUACAAGUACCGUGAGGGAAAGGUGAAAAGAACUGAGGUGAUCAGAGUGAAAUAGAACCUGAAACCAUUUGCUUACAAUCAUUCAGAGCCCUAUGUAGCAAUACAGGGUGAUGGACUGCCUUUUGCAUAAUGAGCCUGCGAGUUGUGGUGUCUGGCAAGGUUAAGCAAACGCGAAGCCGUAGCGAAAGCGAGUCUGAAUAGGGCGCUUAGUCAGAUGCUGCAGACCCGAAACGAAGUGAUCUAUCCAUGAGCAAGUUGAAGCUAGUGUAAGAACUAGUGGAGGACUGAACCCAUAGGCGUUGAAAAGCCCCGGGAUGACUUGUGGAUAGGGGUGAAAGGCCAAUCAAACUUCGUGAUAGCUGGUUCUCUCCGAAAUAUAUUUAGGUAUAGCGUUGUGUCGUAAUAUAAGGGGGUAGAGCACUGAAUGGGCUAGGGCAUACACCAAUGUACCAAACCCUAUCAAACUCCGAAUACCUUAUAUGUAAUCACAGCAGUCAGGCGGCGAGUGAUAAAAUCCGUCGUCAAGAGGGAAACAACCCAGACUACCAGCUAAGGUCCCUAAAUCUUACUUAAGUGGAAAACGAUGUGAAGUUACUUAAACAACCAGGAGGUUGGCUUAGAAGCAGCCAUCCUUUAAAGAAAGCGUAAUAGCUCACUGGUCUAGUGAUUUUGCGCGGAAAAUAUAACGGGGCUAAAGUAAGUACCGAAGCUGUAGACUUGCGCACAACUUAGAUUAUUUAAGUUUAGAAUAUGAGAAACUAAGUUAUAUGUUUAGUUAUAUUUUUACUGAUUUUUAUAGAGUAAAGAUAGAAAUAAAACUUAGUAAAAUCAGUAAAAAUAUUCUUAGACUAAAGUUAAGUAGUUUAAGUUGUGUGCAAGUGGUAGGAGAGCGUUCUAUUUGCGUCGAAGGUAUACCGGUAAGGAGUGCUGGAGCGAAUAGAAGUGAGCAUGCAGGCAUGAGUAGCGAUAAUUAAUGUGAGAAUCAUUAACGCCGUAAACCCAAGGUUUCCUACGCGAUGCUCGUCAUCG
This 1503-nucleotide ribosomal RNA is filed under the name Campylobacter coli. RNAcentral describes it as "partial 23S ribosomal RNA". It matches the Rfam family "Bacterial large subunit ribosomal RNA", at positions 1 to 1374 of the family's 2925-position model. Lineage: Bacteria; Pseudomonadati; Campylobacterota; Epsilonproteobacteria; Campylobacterales; Campylobacteraceae. The record is from RNAcentral.